CAGGGUGACUGACCUCACAAAGGCACGGACGACAUGUAAUGGGAAAAUGGUCAGCAGCAGGAGAAAAGUUGUGUAUUUCAUCGUGUAAACUUGCACCGGACACUGGCAGGCUCCAGUCUAGCUAAUCCACAAAAGCUGUUUGCCCAGACACAGCAGACCUGAUUAGAAAGGAUUGCUAUGCAAGCACCCACAAGUCUCUGGCUAUGGUGGCCAUGGUCUCACCGCUCACCUCCAGCAGCUGUGAGAUCCGACCCGAAGCAGUGCCUUCAGAAGCGAGAUGCAAAGGACGCUGCAGAGCCGAGAAGAAGGACUCCCCAGGGAGCCAGCCGAUGGGAGCGGAGACCAGGUCCUCCAGCCCGCGGGCUCCAGAGACACAGGUGGUGUGGGUAGUUGGCUGGCCCCGGCCGCACGGCCCGCCGCUGCGCAGCCUCAGACCCGGCCCGUAGGUAGGAACUUCCGGAACGAAGCUCCCUUUGGUCAAGAGGGAGUCGCUUCCGGGCCACAAAGGUUCAGAAGGCUGCAAGGACGAAACUGCAGACAGGACAUCACAAGGGGGCAGUUUUCAGACUCGUUUGUGCAAAUGCGUGUCAAAAGCCAUGUGCUUCUCCGCCCACAGUGCCUCCCCAGUCGUGCCUGGAGGGGCAGGUGGAGGGCGCGGCCGGCAGGCCGGGCCACGCCCCUCUCGCCCUUGCCCUUGCCCACUGGCUGUAGCCGCAGACACCCCCGGCCGGGCUGCUGGCGCACCCCCACUGUUUUCACUCUCAGCCUCUCCUAAAUGGAAACCAUUAAUCAUACUAAAUUGUGCAAUGAGUCCAGGACGGGGAGAAUGCUGAUGGCAAAAAUCAUUCUCCUUUGUUGCGCCAGGCAGGCAAAAGGCAGAAGUAUUAGCUCAUUGCCCUGCCUGGCUCCUUGCAAAUGCUGACCGUGGGUUUGCCCACACAGCUGCCUCUGUGCACACAGCUCGUUUUCGCACGGGGCUAAGGCGUUCCAACUGCUGGCAGACCGCGAGGCGCCCGGCCACCUCUUCCUUAUUCCAAGGACAGCCAGUAAGAGUUCUAACCGUGGGUAUUCCCAAGAGGUCUCCCGUCUCGGGGACCUCCAGCUCAGGGGGCCGGGGGCCCAUGAGGCUCCCGGAAAACCCAAGGUGGUCUCGGCUGGGCUGAGCCGGUGGGGACGAGCCGUGCCCCGCCCCCCCCCUCCACGUCUGCCAGCUGGAUUUCAGAAGGAGCCAGGUGUGGGUACCAAGGAGGCUUUUUGCCUUUCAGAAUUUGAUGUCUGCUUCGCUUUUCGACAAGGCUCUUUUUUUUCAGAGGCCUCAGUGGGACAAGAUCCCUCUAGCAUGGGACCCGCCUUAAAGGACCCACGGGGCUCUGGGGAAAUGAAAACUUUCCUCCAUCCCCGCGCCUUCUUCUCCUCUCCCUCUUUCACACAACAGCUCAGCAGCCUGGAGCCCCGGGGUCCUCUCUCAUCCCCCGCUUCCAACCAGCCCCAGCUCCUGCCCCUCUGCCCCCUAAAUGCUUCUCCCACUUGACCCAGCCUCCUCCUGUCCCCUCCCUCACACAGGCCCCUCACCUCCCACCUCAGGGGGGGACAGCCUUUUGCCUGGCUUCCCGGGAGCCUGGGCCCUGGCCCCACCGCGGCCCCAAAUAGAAGUAAACCAGUUGGAAACCACUCCUGGCUGACUUUGGGCUGCAGAAGUCAUCUGAAUCCUCAGCGUCUAAGUCAGCUGGAUUUGGCGUUUGAGGCUCCUCCAGCGGGCCACCUGCACCUGCACCCCUGUCGGGCCUCCCUAUGGCCCCAGCUCACUGUCUCCCACACCUCUGUGCCUUUGAACUCUCCAAGCGUCCUUCCCCUGGCUCCUUCUCUGAACUUGCCCAGACUCCCACACUCACCUCCAUUUGAGUCCUUAUCACAUAUCUGAACUGUUUGUUUACCUUUCUGUCUCCCUCAAUAAAACAGUAAAUUCCUAGAGA
RNA transcript from Suricata suricatta (meerkat), 1973 nucleotides. RefSeq lists it as uncharacterized. NCBI's taxonomy places the organism in Eukaryota, Metazoa, Chordata, Mammalia, Carnivora, Herpestidae. The transcript is spliced from 5 exons. The record is from RefSeq and is a predicted model, not a curated record.